Molecule: ribosomal RNA, 492 nt
Filed under: uncultured bacterium
Lineage: Bacteria
Description: partial 16S ribosomal RNA
Rfam family: Bacterial small subunit ribosomal RNA
Source: RNAcentral
AGUGAACGCUGGCGGUAGGCCUAACACAUGCAAGUCGAACGGCAGCACAGUAAGAGCUUGCUCUUACGGGUGGCGAGUGGCGGACGGGUGAGGAAUACAUCGGAAUCUACUUUUUCGUGGGGGAUAACGUAGGGAAACUUACGCUAAUACCGCAUACGACCUACGGGUGAAAGCAGGGGAUCUUCGGACCUUGCGCGAUUGAAUGAGCCGAUGUCGGAUUAGCUAGUUGGCGGGGUAAAGGCCCACCAAGGCGACGAUCCGUAGCUGGUCUGAGAGGAUGAUCAGCCACACUGGAACUGAGACACGGUCCAGACUACUACGGGAGGCAGCAGUGGGGAAUAUUGGACAAUGGGCGCAAGCCUGAUCCAGCCAUACCGCGUGAGUGAAGAAGGCCUUCGGGUUGUAAAGCCCUUUUGUUGGGAAAGAAAAGCAGCAGGUUAAUACCCCGCUGUUCUGACGGUACCCAAAGAAUAAGCACCGGCUAACUUCGUG